This 253-nucleotide ribosomal RNA is filed under the name uncultured bacterium. RNAcentral's name for it is "partial 16S ribosomal RNA". It matches the Rfam family "Bacterial small subunit ribosomal RNA", at positions 524 to 776 of the family's 1533-position model. The record is from RNAcentral.
UACGUAGGGUGCUAGCGUUAAUCGGAAUUACUGGGCGUAAAGCGUGCGCAGGCGGUCCUUUAAGUCUGAUGUGAAAGCCCACGGCUCAACCGUGGAGGGUCAUUGGAAACUGGGGGACUUGAGUACAGAAGAGAAGAGUGGAAUUCCACGUGUAGCGGUGAGAUGCGUAGAGAUGUGGAGGAACACCAGUGGCGAAGGCGACUCUUUGGUCUGUAACUGACGCUGAGGCGCGAAAGCGUGGGGAGCAAACAGG